Molecule: ribosomal RNA, 1489 nt
Filed under: Lactiplantibacillus pentosus
Lineage: Bacteria; Bacillati; Bacillota; Bacilli; Lactobacillales; Lactobacillaceae
Description: bacterial SSU rRNA
Rfam family: Bacterial small subunit ribosomal RNA
Source: RNAcentral
GACGAACGCUGGCGGCGUGCCUAAUACAUGCAAGUCGAACGAACUCUGGUAUUGAUUGGUGCUUGCAUCAUGAUUUACAUUUGAGUGAGUGGCGAACUGGUGAGUAACACGUGGGAAACCUGCCCAGAAGCGGGGGAUAACACCUGGAAACAGAUGCUAAUACCGCAUAACAACUUGGACCGCAUGGUCCGAGUUUGAAAGAUGGCUUCGGCUAUCACUUUUGGAUGGUCCCGCGGCGUAUUAGCUAGAUGGUGGGGUAACGGCUCACCAUGGCAAUGAUACGUAGCCGACCUGAGAGGGUAAUCGGCCACAUUGGGACUGAGACACGGCCCAAACUCCUACGGGAGGCAGCAGUAGGGAAUCUUCCACAAUGGACGAAAGUCUGAUGGAGCAACGCCGCGUGAGUGAAGAAGGGUUUCGGCUCGUAAAACUCUGUUGUUAAAGAAGAACAUAUCUGAGAGUAACUGUUCAGGUAUUGACGGUAUUUAACCAGAAAGCCACGGCUAACUACGUGCCAGCAGCCGCGGUAAUACGUAGGUGGCAAGCGUUGUCCGGAUUUAUUGGGCGUAAAGCGAGCGCAGGCGGUUUUUUAAGUCUGAUGUGAAAGCCUUCGGCUCAACCGAAGAAGUGCAUCGGAAACUGGGAAACUUGAGUGCAGAAGAGGACAGUGGAACUCCAUGUGUAGCGGUGAAAUGCGUAGAUAUAUGGAAGAACACCAGUGGCGAAGGCGGCUGUCUGGUCUGUGACUGACGCUGAGGCUCGAAAGUAUGGGUAGCAAACAGGAUUAGAUACCCUGGUAGUCCAUACCGUAAACGAUGAAUGCUAAGUGUUGGAGGGUUUCCGCCCUUCAGUGCUGCAGCUAACGCAUUAAGCAUUCCGCCUGGGGAGUACGGCCGCAAGGCUGAAACUCAAAGGAAUUGACGGGGGCCCGCACAAGCGGUGGAGCAUGUGGUUUAAUUCGAAGCUACGCGAAGAACCUUACCAGGUCUUGACAUACUAUGCAAAUCUAAGAGAUUAGACGUUCCCUUCGGGGACAUGGAUACAGGUGGUGCAUGGUUGUCGUCAGCUCGUGUCGUGAGAUGUUGGGUUAAGUCCCGCAACGAGCGCAACCCUUAUUAUCAGUUGCCAGCAUUAAGUUGGGCACUCUGGUGAGACUGCCGGUGACAAACCGGAGGAAGGUGGGGAUGACGUCAAAUCAUCAUGCCCCUUAUGACCUGGGCUACACACGUGCUACAAUGGAUGGUACAACGAGUUGCGAACUCGCGAGAGUAAGCUAAUCUCUUAAAGCCAUUCUCAGUUCGGAUUGUAGGCUGCAACUCGCCUACAUGAAGUCGGAAUCGCUAGUAAUCGCGGAUCAGCAUGCCGCGGUGAAUACGUUCCCGGGCCUUGUACACACCGCCCGUCACACCAUGAGAGUUUGUAACACCCAAAGUCGGUGGGGUAACCUUUUAGGAACCAGCCGCCUAAGGUGGGACAGAUGAUUAGGGUG